UGGUCAAGUUAUUAAGGGUGCAGGGCGGAUGCCUUGGCACUAGGAGCCGAUGAAGGACGUGAUAAGCUGCGAUAAGCUUCGGGGAGUUGCACGUAAACUUUGAUCCGAAGAUUUCCGAAUGAGGAAACUCACUUAGAGUAAUGUCUAAGUAUCAUUAAGUGAAUACAUAGCUUAAUGAGGGGAACUCAGGGAACUGAAACAUCUAAGUACCUGAAGGAAGAGAAAGAAAUUCGAUUCCGUAAGUAGCGGCGAGCGAACGCGGAUUAGCCCAAACCAAUAAAGUUUUCUUUAUUGGG
This 296-nucleotide ribosomal RNA is filed under the name Clostridioides difficile. RNAcentral describes it as "partial 23S ribosomal RNA". It matches the Rfam family "Bacterial large subunit ribosomal RNA", at positions 1 to 296 of the family's 2925-position model. Lineage: Bacteria; Bacillati; Bacillota; Clostridia; Peptostreptococcales; Peptostreptococcaceae. The record is from RNAcentral.